Molecule: ribosomal RNA, 447 nt
Filed under: uncultured bacterium
Lineage: Bacteria
Description: partial 16S ribosomal RNA
Rfam family: Bacterial small subunit ribosomal RNA
Source: RNAcentral
UGACCAGACUCCUACGGGAGGCAGCAGUGGGGAAUAUUGCACAAUGGGGGAAACCCUGAUGCAGCGACGCCGCGUGAGUGAAGAAGUAUUUCGGUAUGUAAAGCUCUAUCAGCAGGGAAGAUAAUGACGGUACCUGACUAAGAAGCCCCGGCUAACUACGUGCCAGCAGCCGCGGUAAUACGUAGGGGGCAAGCGUUAUCCGGAUUUACUGGGUGUAAAGGGAGCGUAGGUGGCAGGGCAAGUCAGAUGUGAAAACCCGGGGCUCAACCCCGGGAGUGCAUUUGAAACUGUCCAACUGGAGUGCAGGAGAGGUAAGCGGAAUUCCUAGUGUAGCGGUGAAAUGCAUAGAUAUUAGGAGGAACACCAGUGGCGAAGGCGGCUUACUGGACUGUAACUGACACUGAGGCUCGAAAGCGUGGGGAGCAAACAGGAUUAGAUACCCCCGUA